CUGCAGUAUUUACUCUUUGCUACUCCAUCUUUAUCUAGCAGAUCAGGCAAUAAAGAUGACACAUUCCAGUCCUUACCAGAUCUUCCAUUGGUACAUCACAGCCAGAAACCUAUUGGCAGGCAUAUCUGGGAAAUACAGUUCUUUGUGUUGUAGAGUAGAUUAUGAGAAGGAUGAAGUGAAUCUAAAGGAAAACAGAGAAAAGCAUUCUGACAAUCAAAGAAGAGUCAGAUGAUAAAUAGCUUCAGACAUUGACCUUCUAGUGGU
This is a long non-coding RNA of Hyaena hyaena (striped hyena), 264 nucleotides long. RefSeq lists it as uncharacterized. The transcript is spliced from 3 exons. Lineage: Eukaryota; Metazoa; Chordata; Mammalia; Carnivora; Hyaenidae. The record is from RefSeq and is a predicted model, not a curated record.